This 19-nucleotide microRNA is filed under the name Arabidopsis lyrata. RNAcentral's name for it is "aly-miR161-3p.1". Its record names the gene aly-miR161-3p.1. The record is from miRBase by way of RNAcentral. Lineage: Eukaryota; Viridiplantae; Streptophyta; Magnoliopsida; Brassicales; Brassicaceae.
CCGGUUUAGUCACUUUCAC